GUAGGUGGCAAGCGUUGUCCGGAUUUAUUGGGUUUAAAGGGUGCGUAGGCGGCCCUGUAAGUCAGUGGUGAAAUACGGCAGCUCAACUGUCGAGGUGCCAUUGAUACUGCGGGGCUUGAGUGUUGAUGAGGUAGGCGGAAUUGACGGUGUAGCGGUGAAAUGCUUAGAUAUCGUCAAGAACACCGAUAGCGAAGGCAGCUUACCAAGCAAUAACUGACGCUGAGGCACGAAAGUGCGGGGAUCAAACAGGAUUAGAUACCCUGGUAGUCCGCACAGUAAACGAUGAUUACUCGAUGUUGGCGAUACACAGCCAGCGUCUUAGCGAAAGCGAUAAGUAAUCCACCUGGGGAGUACGCCCGCAAGGGUG
Molecule: ribosomal RNA, 367 nt
Filed under: uncultured bacterium
Lineage: Bacteria
Description: bacterial SSU rRNA
Rfam family: Bacterial small subunit ribosomal RNA
Source: RNAcentral